Long non-coding RNA from Callithrix jacchus (white-tufted-ear marmoset), 3725 nucleotides. RefSeq lists it as uncharacterized. The record is from RefSeq and is a predicted model, not a curated record. NCBI's taxonomy places the organism in Eukaryota, Metazoa, Chordata, Mammalia, Primates, Cebidae.
CUGCCACCAUAAUUGUGUUCCCAACUGGGACUUCUCCCUUCUCAUCCUUUCCGUGAUGGGGCCAGGGAAACCUUCCAGAGAACUGUCCUCCCCCUCCUCCCCGGAUCUCAGAGAGAAUUCACCUGCAUUUGGUGUCCAGGUGACUCAAGCUCUGAAUGCAGUAGCGUGCACGGGGAGGUGAGGGUGUCACCAGAAGAAAGGCUCCCAGGCAGCCUCCAGGAGCAACCCCAAGCCCGGGCGGGGGGCUCUGAUGCGGCCCAGUGCGAGGUGAGCUGCCCAUGCUGCCUACAUGUGUUCAGAAUGAAGGGCGCCCUCUCUCACACGUGGGGCUCAUUAACCAGGAAUCAAAUUAUUAAGACAAGCUCAGCUGAGCAAAUGGUCAAACAUUAAAAACAUUUAGAAGGCACAAAGAGGUCAACCCCAUUAUCCAUCAAAAGCCAUCGAGGUGGCGGCCCUCACUAAGGGGUACUGCUACCAGCCGGCCCUCGUCUGCCCUCCAAACCCAUGUGCCUCCCCAAUGGAAGGCCAGCAAAGCCACAAGGGAAGAAUUAGGGUGGGAAGCACAAAGUGAACCCCAGGAAGCCAGACAGGUCACGGAGCUCCAUCCCACACACACAGGCCCGGUGACUCAGGGACCCACGUGUCCAGCACACGCGGAGCUCACAGGGACAGCGCCCGGGGGAUGCGAGGAACUUUGCCUCUCCGUCCCUCUCUGAAGGGAUGGAAAGAGGAGAGCGAUUUCUGGGAUGGAAGCCAUCUGCCUCCUCUCAACUCUCGCUGCCCAGCCAGAAAGGGAAGAAAAACAGGAAGAUUGCGGGGCAGACCCUUGAGGAAUCGCCAUGCUGUCUUCGAUUGUGGAUAUCUGAAGGAAGACAAGCCUUCUGCAUCGAUGGGGUCUUUAGGCACCCGUCCUAACCCCACACCCACAGAGAAGAUGCAUCCAACCCCAAUGAGGAUGCGGAGGCUCAGAGAGACUGAGUAACUUGACCAGGGAUCCGGAUCACACAGCUACUAAGUGGCAGACAUAUGCGUGAGGGGACAGAAGGCAAGAGCAACAUAACGAAAAGAAACUCAUCCUGUUUGAGAAGUUACAUGAAUUCAAGUGAAGCAAAUUUAGAGAUUAUUUUCCCCCCUCUCUUCUGAUUUCAACCAAGAAUUUUUAUGAAGACGGUGCUGAUUAAUUCUUCAUAUGUGCAAAGUACCAAAGCAAAGCAAAGUGACUUCAAUUAAAGCAUACAUGGGCCAGGCAUGGUGGCUCACACCUGUAAUCCCAGCAUGUUAGAAGAACAAGAUGGACGGAGCUCCUGAGCUCAGGAGUUUGAGAUCAGCCUGGCCAACAUAGGAAACCCUAUCUUUACUAACAAUACAAAAAUUAGCUGGGUGUGGUGGCAUGAACCUGUAAUCCCAGCUAUGGGGGAGGCUGAGGCAGGAGAAUUGCUUGAACCUGGGAGGCAGAGGUUGCAGUGAACUGAGAUCCCACCAUUGCACUCCAGCCUGGGUGACGGAGUGAGACUCUGUCUGAAGAAGAAAAAAAAAAAAUUAAAGCAUAGAUGGUUUUAGUUGGAUAAACGGCAGGCCUUACCAUCAGGGUCCUUUGUGGUUAAUUGGUUGGUUGAUUUUCUUUAUAAGCUGGGAUGUGGCUUCUGUGAUAAAAACAGCACUGCUGAAGAAGGAAGCUGGGAGACUUCAAUCUGAAUUCUGACUCUUCCGCUAAUUUGGCAGUGACCUUGGACAAGCUGCUCCAGCUUCUUUGGUUCUAGCCACCUAUCCUUCUACUGCCAAAAGGGAGGGGCUCCGACCAGGUUAUCUGAUGAUCCCUUCCAGCUAUGACAACAGCUUAUGUUCCCAAAAGAUGCUGCACAAUGAGGCCUCCCGCCCUUCAGGAGCCAAAACAAAAGACACACUGGACCGUUUCAUCUCCGCCAGGAGCUUAAGGAACAGCAGCAUCCUCACCCACCACUGGAGGCCUCGUCUGACCCCCGUCCCCCAGGAAAAUGCUGUCUGAGCCUGCCCAGAGUGCAAGCAGCCCCCCACUCCCCUCAGAAGCCAGGCACGCACCGCCCCACUGGAGGUGCUCACCCAUCAGCUGGGUUUCAGAGCUCAUUCUUAAGCUCUCUUUUAUGGCUUUUACCCAGAACUGAUUUGAAUAAAUCAGUCUAAUGCUCUCUCUACAAUGGAACCAAUUGUAAAAGAGCUUUAUUUGCUCAGCUUUGAAAGCAGGUUGGAGCUGCCUUCACCCCACUGCAAGACUGAUAGAGAAAAAGGAAGCACACGCGGUGAAUUUGACAAAGGAGAAUUCCUUGAAGGGGUGAGAGGGAGCCAAAGCCCCUCACCCAAGGAUUCCCCAGCAAAGGGAACCCACGCUUGUAGGACCCACACCUGGAGAAGGAGGCCAGAGGUGACCAGAUGGGAUUUAUCUGCACCUGAUGGUAGUACUUCAAGAUGAUAACUGCUAUGCUCAGCAGCAGGCUUGGAGGAGCAAGUCAUGUCUGAAACCUGUUUCCCUGCUUCUUCCGCUCUCAGAACACAGCAAGGGCUACACUCUACCGAGCUUUUCCGAUGUUCCAGGCACUGCGCCAAGUCUCAAGGGCACCUCCAAUUCCACCAUCCCAAACACAAGGGUUUUCUUUCCCUUCCGCAAAUGCCCUCCAUGUUGCGUCUACCCCAGGGCCUUUGCAAGUCCUGUUCCCUCUGCCUCUCUCCAACUCCUACACAUACGCCCAUGUCUGUAAGACGGGCUCCUUCUCCUCCAUCAUAACUCUUCCCAAUUCCACGUCCUCCUAAGGGAAUUUUCCAAACAUUCCAAUAGAAAUUCAGUUCUCACUAUUAUACUCUCUCAAGCCCACCGCUCUUUUGCUCCUGCAUUACUUUACAGCAUAGAGGCAAGAUUGGUAUCUCAUUCAGAGACACAGGUUUGGGAGCCUGAGGCCUAUGGACCCCCUGCUUCUCCUCUUAUUAGCCGAGGACCUUGGACACAUACUUGAUCAUUCUGUACCUUAGUUUAUAAACCUGUAAAAUGGGGAUCAUAAAAGCAUCCACCUCUUGGAGCUGCAGUGAGGGUUAACUGAGCUGACACCCUGAGAAGUGCCCAGAAAUGUGCCUGGCAUGUAGAAAGUCCUCAGUAAAUGUUUGCUAUUAUUUCUGCUGGGACUAUUUGAUUUAGAUAUACUCCCCACCAACCUGUGCACUUCAUGAGAAGACAGCCUGGUCCUUCUGUUCAUCAAGAGAGCCCCAGGGCUGAGUUCAGUGCCUGGCACACAUAGGUACUUAAAAAAAAAGUAUGUGUGGAAUGAAUAAAAAUUUCCUUUGUUUUGUUAUGUUUGCUUCACAUGUGUUUCAAAGAGUCAAAGUGGAAAUGGCCUUUCAUUUGUUGGUUGGUUGGUUUCUAUUACACUUUAAGUUCUGGGGCACAUGUGCAGACCGUGCAGGUUUGUUACACAGGUAUACACGUGCCAUGGUGGUGGGUUGCUGCAUCCAUCGCCCCAUCAUCUACAUUAGGUAUUUCUCCUAAUGUUAUCCAUCCGCAAUCCCCCAAACCCCUGCUAUUCCCCUAGUCUCUACCCCCGAGGCCCUGGUGUGUGAUAUUCCCCUCCCUGUGUGUUCUUCUCACUCUGUCACCCAGGCUGGAGUGCAGUGGUGUGAUCUCGGCUCACUGCAGCCUCCGCCCCCUGGGUUCAAGUGAUUCUCAUGCCUCAGCCUCCUGAAUAGCUGGGAUUACAAGCACG